UACGUAGGGGGCAAGCGUUGUCCGGAUUUAUUGGGCGUAAAGAGCGUGUAGGCGGUCAGGUAGGUCCGUUGUGAAAACUCGAGGCUCAACCUCGAGACGCCGAUGGAAACCAUCUGACUAGAGUCCGGAAGAGGAGAGUGGAAUUCCUGGUGUAGCGGUGAAAUGCGCAGAUAUCAGGAGGAAUACCGGUGGCGAAGGCGGCAUCCUGGACCGGCAUUGACGCUGAGGAGCGAAAGCCAGGGGAGCAAACGGG
RNAcentral lists this ribosomal RNA (253 nucleotides) under uncultured bacterium. Its description in RNAcentral is "partial 16S ribosomal RNA". It matches the Rfam family "Bacterial small subunit ribosomal RNA", at positions 524 to 776 of the family's 1533-position model. The record is from RNAcentral.